AACGAACGCUGGCGGCAUGCCUAACACAUGCAAGUCGAACGAGACCUUCGGGUCUAGUGGCGCACGGGUGCGUAACGCGUGGGAACCUGCCCUUAGGUUCGGAAUAACUCCCCGAAAGGGGUGCUAAUACCGGAUAAUGUCUUCGGACCAAAGAUUUAUCGCCUUUGGAUGGGCCCGCGUUGGAUUAGCUAGUUGGUAGGGUAAAAGCCUACCAAGGCGACGAUCCAUAGCUGGUCUGAGAGGAUGAUCAGCCACACUGGGACUGAGACACGGCCCAGACUACUACGGGAGGCAGCAGUGGGGAAUAUUGGACAAUGGGCGAAAGCCUGAUCCAGCAAUGACGCGUGAGUGAUGAAGGCCUUAGGGUUGUAAAGCACUUUUACCCGGGAUGAUAAUGACAGUACCGGGAGAAUAAGCUCCGGCUAACUCCGUG
This 433-nucleotide ribosomal RNA is filed under the name uncultured bacterium. RNAcentral's name for it is "partial 16S ribosomal RNA". It matches the Rfam family "Bacterial small subunit ribosomal RNA", at positions 29 to 507 of the family's 1533-position model. The record is from RNAcentral.